CCCUUAGAUGUCCUGGGCCGCACGCGCGUUACACUGAUGCAUUCAACGAGCUUAUAACCUUGGCCGAGAGGCCUGGGCAAUCUUGUUAACGUGCAUCGUGAUAGGGAUAGAUUAUUGAAAUUAUUAAUCUUGAACGAGGAAUUCCUAGUAAACGCAGAUCAUCAAUCUGCAUUGAUUACGUCCCUGCCCUUUGUACACACCGCCGUCGCACCUACCGAUUGGAUGGUCCGGUGAAGCCUCGGGAUUGUGGUUCUUGCCGCUUUAUUGUGGCGUGACCGCGAGAACUUGUCUAAACCUUAUCAUCUAGAGGAAGGUGAAGUCGUAACA
This 327-nucleotide ribosomal RNA is filed under the name uncultured eukaryote. RNAcentral's name for it is "partial 18S ribosomal RNA". It matches the Rfam family "Eukaryotic small subunit ribosomal RNA", at positions 1470 to 1796 of the family's 1831-position model. The record is from RNAcentral.